UGAGUCACAUCUCCAUAAAAGAGUUACCAGAUUCAGUUGGUAAUUUGAUGCAUAUGAGGUAUCUUGACCUCUCACACACUGACAUCAAGGAGCUACCUGAAUCAAUUUGCAGCCUCUGUAAUCUGCAGACACUAAUUCUUGUCAAUUGCAACAAGCUUCUUAUUUUGCCAAAAGGUACAAAAGAUUUGAUAAAUCUACGGCAUCUUGAUUUGACGGGAUGUUGGCAUCUCAGAUCCAUGCCGCCAUAUUUUGGGAGACUUACUUCUUUGCAAAGGCUGCAUAGGUUUAUUGCUGGAAAUGAAGUCGGGAGUGGAAUUAGUGAGUUGAAGGACAUGAAUGAACUUCGAGCUACACUUUGCAUUGAUAGGGUUGAGGACAUUAUUAAUAUUGAAGAUGCAAAGGAGGCUAACUUGAAGAGGAAGCCAUAUAUACACAAGUUGGUGCUGAGAUGGAGUAGAAGUCAACGUGUGCGGGAUGCGAUUGAUGAGGAAUUGCUUGAAUGUCUUGAACCUCAUACCAGCCUUAGAGAAUUAACCAUUGAUGUAUAUCCUGGUGCCAAGCUUCCGAACUGGAUGGGAGAUUCACUGCUGUCUCAUUUAGAGAGCAUUGAAUUCAUCCAUUGUAGCUACUGUAAAACCCUCCCUCCUCUUGGUCAGCUACCGUUUCUCAAAUAUCUCAC
This 679-nucleotide unclassified non-coding RNA is filed under the name Hevea brasiliensis (rubber tree). Lineage: Eukaryota; Viridiplantae; Streptophyta; Magnoliopsida; Malpighiales; Euphorbiaceae. The record is from RNAcentral.